Molecule: ribosomal RNA, 468 nt
Filed under: uncultured bacterium
Lineage: Bacteria
Description: partial 16S ribosomal RNA
Rfam family: Bacterial small subunit ribosomal RNA
Source: RNAcentral
GACGAACGCUGGCGGCGUGCUUAACACAUGCAAGUCGAACGGAAAGGCCCUGAUUUUGUGGGGUGCACGAGUGGCGAACGGGUGGGUAACACGUGAGUAACCUGCCCUUGACUUUGGGAUAACUUCAGGAAACUGGGGCUAAUACCGGAUAGGAGCUCCUGCUGCAUGGUGGGGGUUGGAAAGUUUCGGCGGUUGGGGUUGGUCUCGCGGCUUAUCCGCUGGUUGGUGGGGUAGUGGCUUACCAAGGCUUGGACGGGUAGCCGGACUGGGAGGGUGACCGGCCACAUUGGGACUGAGAUACGGCCCAGACUCCUACGGGAGGCAGCAGUGGGGAAUAGUGCACAAUGGGCGGAAGCCUGAUGCAGCAACGCCGCGUGCGGGAUGACGGCCUUCGGGUUGUAAACCGCUUUCGCCUGUGACGAAGCGGGAGUGACGGUAAUGGGUAAAGAAGCACCGGCUAACUACGUG